GUGGAACUUUGUAAAGGCUUCGUAGUGGAUCCCUAGCCAUUCACCUCGGUAGUUUUUAAGGGUCUAGCUAACCCUAGUGACAUGGGAUACACGACUUGUGGGUACAGGGUACAACCUCUGCAGAGUGUAAAACUAGUAUACUAGCCGUGCUCGUGAUCAUGAGCAGCUCAGGACUCUCGCAUGAUUAAUUUAUGGAAUUAAAUUCAAUUUGUCAUAUGCAAUUCAUUGCGGGUGUUGUUAUCAAUUUUGAUCUAUUAUUACUCUGGUUAGGUAUCUACUUGCACUUAGUAACUACUAAUAAAAUUUUGACCAACUUUAAAAGCAAUGCUCAGCUUUAAUCAUUCUCUUUGGUAAGCCUUACACUUCACAUGAGCUCCCACCUUUGGCGAGUUUAUGCACAUUAUUCCCCACAACUUGUUGAGCAAAGAACAUAUGUGAGCUCACCCGUGCUGUCUAACCACCCCCCCACAAGUCAAGAACAGGUACCGCAGGAUGAGGCGCAUGGAGGAUGCUGAGAUGUGUUCGUGAGAGGUCUAGACCGUCGUCUCCCAGUCAGCUUGGGGUUGCUGGAUCGUUGUCUUCAUAUGAUGUAAUUAUUUAUUUAUUUUAUACAGAACUCCUAUUAUAUAGUAAAGAUGUG
RNAcentral lists this long non-coding RNA (640 nucleotides) under Zea mays. RNAcentral's name for it is "drought responsive lncRNA". Lineage: Eukaryota; Viridiplantae; Streptophyta; Magnoliopsida; Poales; Poaceae. The record is from RNAcentral.